AAUGAAGCAAAUACAAAUAGAGUAGUCUGAAAAUAGUAAGUCUAUUAAUUGGUUCUUCCCAACUUAUUAACUCAUAAGCUUACAGGGUUACAUCUACUUAUUUUCUUCACCAUUAGUUGUUGCCAACUUCAAUUUAUCCAUAUUCAUCGACCAGUUCUGAGAAAUAUGUCCUCUACAUCAAUAUCAUAUAAACUAAAAGGAAUAAUGGGUUUCAUCUUUCAGAAUACGGUGAAAGCCUCCUGACUUUUGUAUGUUUUCUUAUCCUAUCAAAAUUUAAAUAAUAGAUUAAUACCAUGUUAUGUAUACUACGCUAAUUCUAAGUAAGAAUCGUAGGCGUGGAAACUAUGGUCCAAAGGAGAAGGAAUGGAGUUACUGGAUAAGCAUCUUGUUGAGUCGAGUGUGCCCAAUGAGGUUGUUGGUGUUUAAGGGCAGCAGUAAGCUGCUUUGAUCUUGCUUGGACAGCAAGCCUCAAGGCUUACAGAAGAAACAAACGCAGAAAGAAAACAGAAAAGAAGCUUGCGAGUGGAAAACAGAAAAGAAAAGAGAGAAUUUGAAUGAAAAACAACCUGAAAUUUUUCAUUAACUUGAGAAUAAGGCCUUAAGCCAUUACAUAUACCAGCUAACUUGUAAAACAAACAAGUUAUCACCUAAUCAACUACCUAACACCACUAAUAUGCAUUGAAACUUACAAGAUUAGCUUGCAUAAUAGCUUUACUGAUUUUUAGUCAAUCAACAUCAAAACAUCUACCUACUAAGUUCAAAAUGAACUAGAUUACAAAAGGAUUAAGGAACAACUAAAUGUGGCAACUAGAUCAGCAACUUUGAGCUUCAGCUGCUGCACACCAUGGCUCGACUGCAUGCUGACUUUCCUCUUGCAUGGCCACCUUUGUUGAUCAGCACCUGGCAUGGGAACUACCCUCAACAGAGGUGCUUAAAUGCAUCCAAAUUGGGUUAUUGUGCGUGCAAUCAGAUCCGGCAGACAGACCAACUAUGUCAACAGUGGUUGCAAUGUUAGGAAGCGACACCAUAACAGUUCCUCUACCAGCGAAACCUGCAUUUUAUGUUGGACGUUUUAUUGCAGAAUCAGUUCAACCCAAUUCAAGUGAUAAAAUAUGUUCUGUUAAUGAAGUUACGAUUUCAAACAUGUCACCUCGGUGAUUGAUUAGUCAUUCCAUCUUCAAUUUUUUCACUAUUACAAGAUAUGAUAGAUUCUAAAAAUUUUGUUAAGCCGCUCUUUUAGCUAAAUGUUCAGCAACAUUCCAGCAAAACACAGGGAGAUGUUCUUCCGAGUUUUCUGUAUUGAUCUUUGAUAUAUAUGUAAAAAAUGACAAAGGGGUAUGAAAAAUUGGUAUGAAGCUGACUUUUCAAAUCCAAAGUGGGAACGGUGGGAAAAUCAUUCCAUUACCGAAGACAGAGCAGCAAAAACGAGUCUAUUUGUUCAAAACUGACUUUUCAACGAGUAUGGAUGAGAAGGUACAAUUUUCGUUUCAUUUUUCUUGGAUACAAUUAAUUUCACCACUUUGCUACGCUCAAGGUAGACUUUGAUUUCGACCAAGUCAAAAAAGAAAACCCGAAAGAAAAGUCCUUGGACUUUAUUAUCUGUAAACUUCAACCUCCUAAAGGAAGAAACAUGGAAGUAUCUCAUUACAAAAUGGUAAUACACAAUUAGUAGCUCUGGUGAUUCCAGAGCACAACCUCCAAAAUGAGGUUUCAAUUUCGGGCAUACUUCCUCGAUAAGGUUUGAAUAUUCUGAAAACCAUCAUCCUAUAUGUGGUUCAAAUAAAAUCAAAUUAUCAAUGCUUUCCAUAUGCAAAGUAGGGGCUGAAGUCCCAUUACAAUCUACCGUAUUAAGUAUUAACUAGCUCAAUGAUUCUGAAAAACUGGCCUAUAACAGGCACGUAGUAUAGUAUGAACAAUGAAACCAAAGGAACUUCAAAAAUAGUGAGAACAGUAGAAAAAGCAUUCCAUUGCCGCUGAUAGUCAGUGUUGGAUUUUUUUAUUAAAAGUUUAGGGUUUAAUUAAAAUUUUUAAAAAAAUUUGGAGGAUUUAAUGAGAAUAUUUAAGAAUAUUUUAACAUUAUAACUUUUGAAAAUAAUAAAUUUUAUUAUUUCAUUUAUUAAUUUAGAUCAUAUACAUAUUUUUUUCGUUGGAUUUGAAGUAUAAUUUAGAUUUGCAGUUAUUGGUUGGAUUUGAUGUUAUAGAAAAUUAUGUUGACAAUUCGGGUUCUAUAUGAAUAAAAAUUGGAUGUUAAAAAUAUGCUACAGUUAGUGGUGUUUUUUCCACAAACGCCGUUAAAAACAUGACUUUUAGUGGCGCUUUUACUAAAAACACCGUUAAAGAACAUGACCUUUAGCAGCGUUAUUAGGAAGAGCGCCGCUAAAAAAAAUUUAAAACCCUCGAAGGUUAUGUUCUUUAGCGGUGUUUGUAGAAAAAGCAUUGUUAAAGGUUAUGUUGGCGUGAGAAAAGCGCCGCUAAAGGUCAUGUUCUAUAGCGGUGUUUUUGUGAGAAACGCCGCUAAAGAUCAUGUUCUAUAGCGUCACUUUUUCACAUAGACACUGUAAAAUUUAACGAUGUCAUCUAUAACGACGUUUUUGUGGCGCUUAUAAAAAUCCAACGUAUAGUUCGCGGCGCUUAUAAGCCCCGCUAUAGGCCAAAAAAACACCACUCUAUUUUCCUGACUGCAGCAACAUUACAUUAAAUUAGUAAGUGAUGAAGUUGGUCAGUAUGCAGCAAACACUCGACAGCAAGCAGGCCAUGAAGACCAAACUAUGCAGGAGCUGCUGCAACAAGUUGUUUUUUGUUCCUUUUGUAAACUUUAGUUCAUGAAAUGAGUCUUAGUUCAUUUCUAACUAAGUUAAGUAUUUGAUUGAUGUAAUUGGCUAAUGUAUGAGCUGUAAACACAGCUUUGUAUAGGUUUACAAGUUAAAAUUUCAAGUUUCCAUGUAAUUAGUGGAGGGAGGUAAUGUUUAGGUGAUUACUUGCUGUUUUUGACAAGCUUAGUGCUUGAUUUAUGUAUUGGCAUCAUGCCAUUGUUUAUUCAAUGAAUGAAUCAGAUUUUGUUCAUCAAAUACUCUCCAUUUUUCCUUAACUUUUCUUCUUUCUUUUGCUCGAAUUUGUUUGUUUUCUCAGCAAGUAUCGAGGCUUGUUGCACAAGACACAAGCUGAGCUUGUCUGCUUCUGUUCCAGCACCAACAGUAAGGAAUCCAAAAGAAGAUUGUCCACUGAACAAACCUUUCCUUCUCAUAUUAGCUAUGACUGAGGAAUUAAAGACCAAGUUUCGUUUGACUUUUAAAAGCUUCAAGACUUUUGCUUUAAUGAGCGGUCUUUGACUCUUUCUCCAACUCAAUCCCCCAUCUCUUCUUUGCCAUGAAAAAUCUGGAAUAAUAAGUUCCCACUUCUUUCUUUUGGGUUUCGUUUCCUUCAAAUUAUACAACCUCAAAAUGUGGGUUAAAUUUACAGCUCUUUCUUCAAUUCUCUCCCAUCUGCUUCUCAGCAUCAGUCUUGUUGAGGCUUUCAUAAGAUGCUACGACACUGGUAAUUUCACCAUAAAUAGUACCUAUGGUAAAAAUCGGGACCUUAUUCUUGCUUCUCUCCCACCGAAUGUCUCUGCAAAAGGUGGUUUCUUCACUGCCAAUGUUGGCCAAAACGCCUACAAAGUUUACGCUCUUGGUAUGUGCAGAGGAGACUCUAGUCGUGACGAUUGUUAUAAAUGUGUCAAUUCUACAAUCCACGACCUCAAAGCUAGCUGUCCCAACCAGAAGGAAGCCCUUUCAUGGGAAGGGCAACCAUGUCAUGUACACUAUGCAGAUCGCUCGUUUUAUGGAACCCUGGAGGAGUUAGGAAACCCUGAGGCAGGCUAUAAUACGGGCGACAUCAAAUCUAACUUAACAGAAUUUGAUACGAUUUGGGAGAGUUUGAUGGACACAGUGGUGAGAAACGCUUCCAACGGCUCUUCUACUCGUAAGUAUGCAACCGGGGAAGCAGACUUUACAGUAUUCCAAAAGAUAUAUGCGCUAAUGCAGUGCACUCCAGAUUUAUCACACGAGGAUUGUGAUUCCUGCCUAAGGCAAUCCGUGAGCAACUAUGAAAGCUGUUGCCAUGGGAAGCAAGGAGGUUAUGUUACGAGGCCUAGCUGUUAUUUCCGCUGGGAUUUGUAUCCUUUCUAUUCUAUAACAACCCCAUCUCCUUCCCCAGAUAUAAAAGGUAUGUAGGCAUCUUCUACAUGACUCAUGAGUAAAUUGAACUAAAUUAAAAUUAGAAUAAAUAAGCAUUUUUUCAAAGAAAAUGAAUUCUAGUAGGUAUCAUUCUAAAAGGGCUCGACAUCUAUAAGCAAAUAUAUUAUAUAUUAAAAUAAAAUAAUUAUAUCAGUAAAAAUGCUAUAAAGGUCAUCAACACUAACGCACAUAGGUUGGAUAAGGUUAUAGCCUAAAGGAUUUUGAACCUUUAUUUCUGCCUUUUCAUAGUAGGUAAUUAAAGUUUGAAUUUUGUUGGCUAGCUAUGUAUUGUUUGAAUGUUUAAAGGGUUGCCCUUUGUUUAAACUAUUACAAUUUGAUUUUCCCACAUCAACUCCGCCAUAAUCUUCGCCUCAUUAAGUACAAUAACGAAACAUAUAUAGCAAACUCCAUACCAUAAUAAAUUUGUUCCUUUAACUAUUUCCCACAACUUCCAUGGUCAAAUGUAAUGAAUAGUGCAUCAAGAAACAACUAUCUUCCUCUAAUUAAUAAAUUCACAAACUCCCAUUUAUAAAAAAUUCAUUGAGUAAGGCUCAAUUGCAAAACUUCAAUUACAUGCUUUCUAAAGUCUCUAAUAUCCCAUCACAUAAUUUCACAUAAAGUGUAAAAAUUGGCCAUCACCAUUUUCCUGGAAUAGGACUUUUAAGCUCUAAUAUCUCAUACAGUAGUCUUUUUGUUCAUCGAUCUCACACAAUGUAUACCAAGACUAUCAUAAUUUUGAAAAUUUGAAAAGAGCUUAACGUCUAUAAGCAACCAAAACUUACUGUUAUUGUUAUCUAAUUUGUAAUUAUUUCUCGAGUUAUCUGAUAUCCUAGACUUGCAAAAUUACAAAAUUUGUCCAAAUAUUCAUCCAAUUUGAGAGCCUUCUUUUCUCAAUCCAGCACUCUUCUUCGUCUCUGAUUGCAUUUGAUUCAAACAAAAAAUUUGAGGCUUUCCUAUGUUUUUCAUUUGUUGGAACAAAGAAAGUCAGUUCCACUGCUGACUAAGUGGUUAGCCAAUUUAUAAAAGAAAAACCCCUUAACGAAAGCUUUCAUAUGGAAAAUUUUGCAGGCAUCAAUCUAACCUACCAAAGCUUUAGGUGCUAUAAUGACUCGGGUAGUUUCACAACCAGCAGUACAUAUGGAAAAAACCUUGACCAUAUUCUCGAUUCUCUCCCACACAACGUCUCUGAAAAUGGUGGUUUCUAUGAAGCCAUUGGUGGCCAAGACUCCAACAAAGCUUACGCUCUUGGGAUGUGCAGAGGAGGCUUAAGUAAAGGUGACUGUUAUCGUUGUGUCAGUUCCUCGGUUAAUGAUCUCAGAGUUAAGUGUUCUCACUGGAAAGAAGCCGUUUCAUUGGCAGUUUUACGACCGUGUAUUGUACACUAUGCAAAUCGCACAUUUUUUGGAAACUUGGAGGUAGAACCCACGGAUGCAGCUCAUAACAAUGAAAGCAUCAAAUCGGACGUACUAACAAAAUUUGAAAUGGCUUGGGAUGGUUUGGUGGUCAGUUUGAGGAGAAAUGCUUCCAACGGCUCUUCUAAGUUUAAGUAUGCAACUGAGGAAGCAAAAUUUACAGAAUCUCAAACUAUAUAUGCACUAAUGCAAUGCACCCCAGAUUUAUCACAGGAAAAUUGUUGGACCUGCCUAAAGCGAGCCACAGAAACCCAUAAUGAUUGUUGCCGUGCGAAGCAAGGUGGUUUUGUUCAGAAGCCAAACUGUUAUUUCCUCUGGGAUUUGCAUCCCUUCUAUGCACUAGGACCUGACAAUACAUUUACAAAAGGUAAGUAUGGCUAGAUGACUCGUAAGUAAAUUGAUGUAAUAAAAAUUACCAAAUUGGAACAUGGAAACCAUCUAUUCAUUCAAUCUCUAAUAUGGUUUGAGAGCCUUCUUUUCUGAAUCCAGCAUUCCUCAUAGCCAACGACUUAACCACAGCUCCUUUUCUCAAUCCUUCUCAUCUUCUUCAUCUCUGAUUAUAUUUGAUUCAAACAAAAAAAUUGCAAGAUCAUUUGUUGUAACAAAAGAAUAGUCAAUUCGACUGUUGAGUAAGUGGUUAGCCAAUCAAUAAAAGGAUCUGCUCCUUUGAUUGGAUUUAGUUAGCCACCUUCUUUUGUAUUCAUUUCAGCCUAAGUAGAUAUGGUUGCCAGCACACUUAGUAUCUAGUCAAAACAAUCUUCCACUAUAUGAGUUGCAAGCUUUGCUCUCUUGCGUCUUAAGGCUAGUUGAGUUUUUGUGUUUCUUGUUACGUGUCCUUCCACGAGUUGAUGAUAAGAUCUCUUUUUUCUGGGGAAAAAUUAUCAGAUGAAACGAAACAAAACAAACCAAUAUGGAUACCACUUGGUGCAAGCUUAUCAGCUACUCUAGGACUAGCUCUGUUUUCUGCUUGUGGUUUCUUUAUCUGGAGAAGGAGAAACGGUCAAGGUAUGCACUAUUAGAUCAUGCUGGCAUUUACAAAUUUAUGUUAUAAUCUUAUAGCCAAUCACAUUUUGUUUUAUUACAGAGGAUAAAGGCCAAGAAGUUCGAUUACUUGACUUGGUAAUGGGAAGUGUUCCUCGUGGGAACUCAAGCGAAAAUUUUGAUCUACAAAAUAUAGGAAGGUCGCAGGAGUUUCCUUCAAUUCAAUUGAAUAUUUUACAAGCAGCAACCAAUAAUUUUUGUGAUGAAAAUAAGCUAGGACAAGGUGGAUUUGGCCCUGUAUACAAGGUAAUUAUGGUUAGGAACUAAAAUAACGUGGUUAAGAAAAAAUGCAUGUUCAUAUGUUAAUUUGUAGGGCACACUAGCGGAUGGAAAAGAAAUUGCAGUUAAAAGGCUCUCAAGAACUUCUGGUCAAGGGCUGCUUGAGUUCAAGAAUGAGGUCAUGUUAAUUGCCAAAUUACAGCAUAGGAAUCUUGUGAGGCUGUUAGGAUGCUGCUUAGAGGAAAACGAAAAGUUGCUUGUAUAUGAAUUCAUGCCCAACAAAAGCCUUGACAUGUUCCUAUUCGGUUUGAUCCUUCAACCUUGAAAUAACAACAUUAUCUUAUACAUACACAAUAAAUUUGAAUAUUUGACUUGUCAUUUCUUUUUCUCUCCUUCUUGAGCAUUUGUCAGAUUCGAGUUUGCCUGCCCAACUAGUUUGGCAAAAACGAUUCAAUAUUAUUAAAGGAACUGCCCGAGGUAUCAUGUAUCUGCAUGAGGAUUCUCGUCUUAGAAUAAUCCACAGAGACCUUAAAGCAAGUAAUGUUUUACUUGACCAUGAGAUGAAUCCGAAAAUUUCGGACUUUGGUAUGGCAAAAAUUUUUGGCCGAGAUCAGAAUGAAGCAAAUACAAAUAGAGUAGUUGGAACAUAGUAAGUCUAUUAAUUGGUUCUUCCCAACUUAUUUAACUCAUAACCUUACAGGGUUACAUCUACUUAUUUUCUUCACCAUUAGUUGUUGCCAACUUCAACUUAUCCAUAUUCAUCGACCAGUUCUGAGAAAUAUGUCCUCUACAUCAAUAUCAUAUAAACUAGAAGGACCCCAUGCAAGUAAUGAAUCUUAGUAUGUUUCAUGGUUAGUGAUUAGAAACAAAACUUGGUUUUGUUACUGAGAGUAUCUGAUAUGUGAUUGAUAUACAUUGAAAAUCAGUUCAUGUUUGUAAAGUUUCUUAUGAUUAUCUAAUUUUGAUUUAGUUUUUCUUCAUUGUUUCUAAUAAACUACAACAGUGGAUACAUGGCACCUGAGUAUGCUAUGGAAGGACUUUUUUCUGUCAAAUCUGAUGUUUUCAGUUUCGGUGUCCUUUUGCUGGAGAUUAUAAGUGGAAAAAGGAAUAAUGGGUUUCAUCUUUCAGAAUGCGGUGAAAGCCUCCUGACUUUUGUAUGUUUUCUUAUCCUAUCAAAAUUUAAAUAAUAGAUUAAUACCAUGUUAUGUAUACUACGCUAAUUCUAAGUAAGAAUUGUAGGCGUGGAAACUAUGGUCCAAAGGAGAAGGAAUGGAGUUACUGGAUAAGCAUCUUGUUGAGUCGAGUGUGCCCAAUGAGGUGCUUAAAUGCAUCCAAAUUGGGUUAUUGUGCGUGCAAUCAGAUCCGGCAGACAGACCAACUAUGUCAACAGUGGUUGCAAUGUUAGGAAGCGACACCAUAACAGUUCCUCUACCAGCGAAACCUGCAUUUUAUGUUGGACGUUUUAUUGCAGAAUCAGUUCAACCCAAUUCAAGUGAUAAAAUAUGUUCUGUUAAUGAAGUUACGAUUUCAAACAUGUCACCUCGGUGAUUGAUUAGUCAUUCCAUCUUCAAUUUUUUCACUAUUACAAGAUAUGAUAGAUUCUAAAAAUUUUGUUAAGCCGCUCUUUUAGCUAAAUGUUCAGCAACAUUCCAGCAAAACACAGGGAGAUGUUCUUCC
RNAcentral lists this long non-coding RNA (8563 nucleotides) under Gossypium barbadense (sea-island cotton). RNAcentral's name for it is "long non-coding RNA (GBAR_LNC018266)". The record is from RNAcentral. Lineage: Eukaryota; Viridiplantae; Streptophyta; Magnoliopsida; Malvales; Malvaceae.